CAGCAGCCGCGGGAAUACGUAGGGUGCAAGCGUUGUCCGGAAUCAUUGGGCGUAAAGCGCGCGUAGGUGGCCAUUUAAGUCCGCUGUGAAAGUCAAAGGCUCAACCUUUGAAAGCCGGUGGAUACUGGAUGGCUAGAGUACGGAAGAGGCGAGUGGAAUUCCUGGUGUAGCGGUGGAAUGCGCAGAUAUCAGGAGGAACACCAAUAGCGAAGGCAGCUCGCUGGGACGUUAGUGACACUAAGGCGCGAAAGCGUGGGGAGCGAACAGGAUUAGAUACCCCAGUAGUCCCUGUCUCUUAUAC
RNAcentral lists this ribosomal RNA (301 nucleotides) under uncultured bacterium. RNAcentral's name for it is "partial 16S ribosomal RNA". It matches the Rfam family "Bacterial small subunit ribosomal RNA", at positions 509 to 807 of the family's 1533-position model. The record is from RNAcentral.